GCCCGGUUAGCUCAGUCGUAGAGCGUUAGGCUUUUAACCUAAACGGUCGUGGGUUCGAGCCCCACAUCGGGCG
This 73-nucleotide transfer RNA is filed under the name Orchesella cincta. It matches the Rfam family "tRNA". Rfam says of the family: Transfer RNA (tRNA) molecules are approximately 80 nucleotides in length. Lineage: Eukaryota; Metazoa; Arthropoda; Collembola; Entomobryomorpha; Orchesellidae. The record is from Rfam by way of RNAcentral.